Long non-coding RNA from Amphiprion ocellaris (clown anemonefish), 2298 nucleotides. Lineage: Eukaryota; Metazoa; Chordata; Actinopteri; Pomacentridae. The record is from Ensembl.
CUUUUUUUGGACAAUAUUUCUCAAGCUUUUGAAAAUGUCAUUGGUCUAGCCAGCCCCGCCCCUUUCUGGCCAUCCGUUCCCCUGCUGGGGUGUUGCUGGUCUGUGAGGCUCUCUGCAGCUGCUGAUUAAUGGAUUAGGUGCAGCUGGGAGAGCCUCACACCUGCAGCUCAUACCAUCUGCUAAGAAGACCGGCUUCACAUGGCAGGGGACAUGGGACCAUACUGCCUUGCUUCUAGUUCAGAGAAGACGCUGCAGCACUGAGCCGUGGAGCAGUCUGUCUUCCCCCCAGCCAUCCUCUGAUACGAGGACGAGGAUUUCCUGCCCUCCUCAAGGCGAGGAGGUGAACCGAUCGGCCGGCGUGAGCCCUGGACUGUUGCUCCCCGGUAGCCUGAUUUUGCCCUCCCUCACCUGAAGUGAGUUUUUGCCUGAGUGGCAUAACUGUUUAAUUUUGUUAAUAAAACCUGCUGACUGUGACCUGCCAACUGCCUGCUUUGUGUGCACUCACCUUGGGUUCAAACCACCUGCAAACUGUGACAGAAAAUACCCUUUCACAAGGAACAGAUGAGGCUGGGGUAUAAAGAAUUUUUACAGCGAGUGUGUGCAAAUUCGGGUGAGGAAGCUUCUGAUGUAUGUGGCUGGGAUGAGGAGAGGAGGACGACGAUGACAUUGAUGGCAACAUGGCAUUGCUUCGCAUUACAGCAGCACACUUGGUUGUGAGCCUCCUCUCAGCCUCUGCUGCUUUAUUAGGGCUAAAGAAUCCUAUUUUUUGAAUCUGGGAUCCAGGAGGGUGGCCAGUGCCAUAAUGCUCAUUGAUUGUAGUGCGUAGAGCUUCUCUCUUAAUUGGUGUUGGAGGGCUUCAACCAGUGCUCUGCUCUUUAGAGUUUGGAUAUUUACUACGUCUUCUUCCUCCAACGCUCAGUGUAGCAUAGUCAAAAGUGGAAUGACUUUAGAGCCAGAUACUAGUUUCUCCUCUGACAGUUCCACUGUUGCAUCAUUGAAAGGUGCCAGUCUGCUAUAAUGUUAUAGUGUUCGGAUGUGAGAGACGUAAGGUCGGUACGCAGGCCUGCCAGAGCUGCUCCUACAGGUUCUCUCAGGUCAUAAAAGCGCUGGAGCAUAUGGUAGGUACUAUUCCACCUUGUGUCCACCUCCUGAAUUAAUUUCAGUGCCUGCUGGCCCAUUUGCUUUUGCACUGUUGUCAGCCUCUCCUUAAAAAAAUGAAAUUAAAAAAUACAUUCAAGUGUCACUGCAGCAGCAAUUUAAACAAAACAAUGUUAUUUGGAAUAAAAACAAGCACUUGCAAUAAAAACAAAUAAAUACUCACCUUUGCAGUGGUGCUACUCUUGAAGUAGCCCACUAUCUUUCUGGACUUUGCACGGAUGUCAGAAACCUCAGGGUUUUGGUCCAGAGCCUUUUUUACAGUUAGAUUCAAAGCAUGCGCCACACAAUUUGUGUGGUGCAAACGGAGCUCCCUGGCACAAGCCUCCAUAUUUGGAGCACCAUCAGUCACUAGGCAGGUGACUUUAUUGAUGAGACCCCAUUCAGACAUAAGUGCCCAUUUAACACUGACCAGAUUUUCAGCAGUAUGGGCCUGGGGGAAAUGCAGCACCCCUAAAACAACGGACUGCAAAGCAGUACUUGCAUCAAUAAAAUGGCAUGUCACCGCCAAAUAUGCAUCCAUGUUUAUCGAGGUCCACAUAUCAGACGUCAAACUAACAGAGGUUGCCUCUUUGGACUUCUUGUAUCUUUUCUCCACCAUAGCUUUUAAAGCCGAAAAGAGGCAAAAUAAAAGAACACUCUUAGAAUGGCCAUUAUGGGGAAAUGGUGAAAAAUGCUUCAUGUGCUCACAUACGUACCUGUCUUGUGGGGAGAACAUUGCUAGGGUUUAAAGCUUGAACAAGCUUCUUGAACCCUUUGUCCUCCACAGUAGAGAAGGGCUGGGAAUCCUCAAUGACCAUGCUCACCAAGGCCUCAUUCACAUCAUUCUCUCCUGAUGACAAAAUGAAAUCACUAUUUGGUUACAUAUAUAUUGACAAACAAGUAAUAUGCAGAAUAUAAAUUAUUGUUUUAUAAUGCAAAUAUAUAAUUCUAUGUUCUUGGGGGUUUUUUUUUGCUGACUUAUCAUUGCAUCCUAAAAUGCCUUACCUGAGCUUGAUCCACCGUGGUUGGUCUCCUUGUUCUUAUGCAGGGCUCUGUAAUGCCUCAGCAUAGAUGAGGUGGUGGUGUUGUAUCCAAGCUCCUUGGAGCACAACAGACACUUCACCUUUUAAAAUACAAAAAAGAAAAGAAAAAAUAAAUUGG